This 458-nucleotide ribosomal RNA is filed under the name Iphisa elegans. RNAcentral's name for it is "partial 12S ribosomal RNA". It matches the Rfam family "Bacterial small subunit ribosomal RNA", at positions 876 to 1526 of the family's 1533-position model. The record is from RNAcentral. Lineage: Eukaryota; Metazoa; Chordata; Lepidosauria; Squamata; Gymnophthalmidae.
AAAACUACGAGCGAAAGCCUAAAACUCAAAAGACUUGACGGUGCCCCAACCUACCUAGAGGAGCCUGCUACAUAAUCGAUAAUCCACGAUAAACCUAACCACCCCUUGAAAUAUUCAGCCUAUAUACCGCCGUCAUUCAGCCUACCUUCUAAAAGACACUAAGCAAGCAAAACAGUAUAUUCUACUAAAAAGUCAGGUCAAGGUGUAGCUAAUGGGGUGGAGCUAGUGGGCUACAUUUUCUAAAAUAGAAUACAUCGAACUAGAACCUGAAAUACAACUAUAAAGGCGGAUUUAGCAGUAAGUUAAACUAGAACAUUUAACUUAACACAGCCCUGGAGCACGUACACACCGCCCGUCACCCUCCUCAAUACCAGACGAUAUAUAAUUAAUUCAUUAAUACCCACAAGAUGAGGCAAGUCGUAACAAGGUAAGCGUACUGGAAGGUGCGCUUGGUCAAC